Nicotiana tabacum (common tobacco) is the source of this 1547-nucleotide RNA transcript. It is a transcript of the gene named omega-amidase, chloroplastic-like, with no coding region annotated. The record is from RefSeq and is a predicted model, not a curated record. NCBI's taxonomy places the organism in Eukaryota, Viridiplantae, Streptophyta, Magnoliopsida, Solanales, Solanaceae.
UACAGUGCCUUUACACUGAUAGCAGGACUACCUUCUAAUAUUCUUCACUCUCAUCAUUUUCCACGCACCAACAAAAGGUCAAACCAAAAAUCAGUUGAAGUUGAACACCAAAUCUGCAGUGCCAUGGCUUCUAUUUCUAAAAGGACAGCAAGUGCUCAGUCCUUUGUCUCUGAUCCACUACUUCAAAUGCCCAAAAUAACACAGAUCUGUCUUUUUUUGUUGUUUCCUUACACCCUUUUUGUCUCCUUUUGUUUCUUCCAACAAACCCAAAAACAUGUCAUUUUCUUGAUACUUAGGUUAGCUAGCUUGUUUGAAAAAUCAAAUCACUAACAAAAGUCCUCAGUGUGGUAAUUGUUGAUUCCUUUCUUUUUUAUCUUCAAUUUUUUUGUGGGGUUUCGAAAAAAAAAGAAGUUCAAGAUUGGAAUUUGUCAGCUGAAAGUUACAACAGAGAAGAAUGUUAACAUUCUAAAUGCUCAUAAUCUAAUUCAAGUUGCUGCAGAACAAGGUGCAAGUCUUAUACUUUUGCCUGAAAUGUGGAAUUGCCCGUAUUCAACUGACAUGUUCCCAAAGUUUGCUGAGGACUUCAAUGAUAUAGACAGCGCCCCGUCAUUUCUUAUGUUAUCUGAAGUGGCUUCUUCUUUAGGAGUCACAAUUAUCGGGGGAUCAAUUCCGGAAAAGGAUGCUGGUCAGCUGUACAAUACUUGCGCUGUGUUUGGACCUAAGGGCGAGUUAAAAGCUAAGCACAGGAAAAUACAUUUGUUUGACAUGGGUAAGCCACUUCCAGGAGAAGUUCAAUUUAAGGAAUCAGACAGCAUUUCAGCAGGAGAUAAGCCUACAGUUGUUGACACAGAUUUUGGUUGCAUUGGAAUAGGAAUUUGUCAUGAUAUUCGAUUUCCUGAACUGGCAAUGUCGUAUAGUGCCAGAGGUGCUCAUCUAAUAUGUUACCCUGGAGCAUUCAACAUGAGUACUGGGGCGGCCCUGUGGGAGCUGGAGCAAAGAACAAGGGCAGUAGAUAACCAGCUUUAUGUGGCAUCUUGCUCCCCAUCUCGAGAUUCAGCCAGUAGCUACAUAAUAUGGGGUCACUCUACUUUGGUUGGACCGAGAUCUAUCUUUGUUUUUCUGGUGAGCAGAUGGGUGAAAUAAUUGCAACCACAGGGCAUGAGGAAGCAGUUCUAGUUGCUGAUAUUGAUUAUGCUGCAAUUCAACUGGCAAGGGAAAGCUUCCCUUUAAAGAGCCAGAGGCGCGACGACAUCUAUCAAUUUGUAGACUUGCUUGGAUAGAAGUGCUAAGAGGCUUUAAGAGUAGGGCAUUUUGAUCAGAUUGCAUAUCAUGGCCAAAUGAAGUUCUGAAAUGAGAUUCUGCAGGAGUUCUUCAUCACCAAGAAAAUGCUUUGCUAGUUUUGUUGGCAACCAGUGCUUGUAUCUUUUUUUAUGCUUAUUCCAAGAGGCAUUUGUUAACAAGUUUGAUAAUAUUUGGCAUUUCAUCAAAGAUUAUUUUGACAAGAUUACCAGGGUUUCAAUAUCUCAAUAAAAUAGUGGCUUAUCAUA